Molecule: unclassified non-coding RNA, 329 nt
Filed under: uncultured fungus
Lineage: Eukaryota; Fungi
Description: partial contains small subunit ribosomal RNA, internal transcribed spacer 1, and 5.8S ribosomal RNA
Rfam family: Eukaryotic small subunit ribosomal RNA (bases 1-73)
Source: RNAcentral
GCAAACUUGGUCAUUUAGAGGAAGUAAAAGUCGUAACAAGGUCUCCGUUGGUGAACCAGCGGAGGGAUCAUUACCGAGUCACGCACUCAAAUAACCCUUCUGUGGACCUAAAUCAAAACCGUUGCCUCGGCGGGCGGUCCCCUACCCAAAAACCCCACGUGGUGCGGGGUAGGGGACCAGACAGUCCGGUACGCUUAAGGCGUCCGGCGCCAGCCGCUGGCCCUAAACAAUUAAACUCUAGUAACUUUACCUUCUGAGUUUUAAUAAAAAAAUAAGUCAAAACUUUCAACAACGGAUCUCUUGGCUCUGGCAUCGAUGAAGAACGCAGC